AGGCUGCAGGACCGUGAAGUGGUGAGUUGCGGAUUGCUUUACGACAUUUGGUGAUUACUUGAUCACAUCUUUGCACAUAUGAACCUAGUGAUGCUGCAUCUAAUGUACGUAGCACCGGAAAGCCUCACAACACCGCAAGGAUGUGGUAUGAGCAACGGAAUUUGGUGCUGUUUUCUUACGAGCUAGACCUUCUAGAAUGAGUAGGUUCAACCUCGAGAGAGACUGACAUAAUUACCUUCAAAACAUCAGGUGAGAUUACAUUUGGGCCACGGGAUGAGAACUUAGCCGCAAUAGGAGCCGGAAUCCCCAGAUAUUGGAGAGAGAGUGUCAUUGUUGCAACUGGACUUCUGCUCCACAAUAAUAAUUACACAGAAUAUGACUGCCAACUCCUUGGCUUACGACCGUCACUGCUGGGUGGCGAAAGACCUGUGCAUAAGACUUCAGUUCAUCGUCUACCAUGAUGGUGGCAACCCCGCCCUUGUCAUAGACCUCUACUUCUGGAUAGUUGAUUCCCAACAUGUCUCCAGGUACACAAACAACAAUAUUGCCUUUCACCUUCUUUGCGUCCAAUGAAUCUGGGCCGCACAUCCUGAAACCAUUCAUAUGUUAACUUAAA
This is a non-coding RNA of Physcomitrium patens, 616 nucleotides long. The record is from RefSeq and is a predicted model, not a curated record. Lineage: Eukaryota; Viridiplantae; Streptophyta; Bryopsida; Funariales; Funariaceae.